CCGGCUAACUCCGUGCCAGCAGCCGCGGUAAUACGGAGGGUGCAAGCGUUAUCCGGAUUCACUGGGGUUAAAGGGUGCGUAGGUGGAUUGGUAAGUCCGUGGUGAAAUCUCCAAGCUUAACUUGGAGACUGCCGUGGAUACUAUCAGUCUUGAAUCCCCUGGAGGUAAGCGGAAUAUGUCAUGUAGCGGUGAAAUGCUUAGAUAUGACAUAGAACACCAAUUGCGAAGGCAGCUUACUACAGGAGUAUUGACACUGAGGCACGAAAGCGUGGGGAUCAAACA
RNAcentral lists this ribosomal RNA (282 nucleotides) under uncultured bacterium. Its description in RNAcentral is "partial 16S ribosomal RNA". It matches the Rfam family "Bacterial small subunit ribosomal RNA", at positions 493 to 774 of the family's 1533-position model. The record is from RNAcentral.